Small nucleolar RNA from Pleuronectes platessa (European plaice), 77 nucleotides. RefSeq annotates it as small nucleolar RNA SNORD79. Lineage: Eukaryota; Metazoa; Chordata; Actinopteri; Pleuronectiformes; Pleuronectidae. The transcript has a single exon. The record is from RefSeq and is a predicted model, not a curated record.
AACUGUUAAUGAUGAUUUAUUAAACAUUGGGAAUCUCUCUGAUAAAGGGUGAAAGAGAACUGUUUUCUGAUGCAGUA